Molecule: ribosomal RNA, 296 nt
Filed under: uncultured bacterium
Lineage: Bacteria
Description: partial 16S ribosomal RNA
Rfam family: Bacterial small subunit ribosomal RNA
Source: RNAcentral
CCCUACGGGGGGCAGCAGUGGGGAAUAUUGCACAAUGGGGGAAACCCUGAUGCAGCGACGCCGCGUGAGUGAAUAAGUAUCUCGGUACGUAAAGCUCUAUCAGCAGGGAAGAAAAAAAGACUUUGGCUUUGGACGGUACCUGACUAAGAAGCCCCGGCUAACUACGUGCCAGCAGCCGCGGUAAUACGUAGGGGGCAAGCGUUAUCCGGAUUUACUGGGGGUAAAGGGAGCGUAGACGGCAGCGCAAGUCUGGAGUGAAAUGCCAGGGCUCAACCCCGGAACUGCUUUGGAAAGUG